UUGGGUGUUGCUGCUUUACCGUGGCUCACCUCAAAUGCAUUAGUGCAUCUCCAGAUUGGACAUAGUACAGCGUGAUAAAUAUCUUCGCUGGCGCCUCGCUUCAGAGGGUGGCUGAUCCAGAGCUCUGUGCUUUCAAACCGUCUUCGGACAAUAACUGACAACUUGGCCUCAAAUCGAGUAGGACUACCCGCUGAACUUAA
This 200-nucleotide unclassified non-coding RNA is filed under the name soil metagenome. RNAcentral describes it as "partial contains internal transcribed spacer 2 and large subunit ribosomal RNA". The record is from RNAcentral.